UCCUCACCUAAUCUCCUUGUGAAGAGAGA
Molecule: non-coding RNA, 29 nt
Filed under: Mus musculus (house mouse)
Lineage: Eukaryota; Metazoa; Chordata; Mammalia; Rodentia; Muridae
Source: RNAcentral